UACGUAGGGGGCAAGCGUUGUCCGGAAUCAUUGGGCGUAAAGAGCGUGUAGGCGGCCCGGUAAGUCCGCUGUGAAAGUCCAGGGCUCAACCCUGGAAUGCCGGUGGAAACUGUCGGGCUAGAGUCCGGAAGAGGCGAGUGGAAUUCCUGGUGUAGCGGUGAAAUGCGCAGAUAUCAGGAGGAACACCAAUGGCGAAGGCAGCUCGCUGGGACGGUACUGACGCUAAGACGCGAAAGCGUGGGGAGCAAACAGG
This 253-nucleotide ribosomal RNA is filed under the name uncultured bacterium. RNAcentral describes it as "partial 16S ribosomal RNA". It matches the Rfam family "Bacterial small subunit ribosomal RNA", at positions 524 to 776 of the family's 1533-position model. The record is from RNAcentral.